GACAGAGGUGGCAAGCGUUGCUCGGAUUCACUGGGCUUAAAGGGCGCGUAGGCGGCUUUGUAAGUCCGAGGUGGAAUUCCACAGCUUAACUGUGGAACUGCCUUGGAAACUGCAAGGCUUGAGUCAGGUAGAGGGAGGCGGAAUUCCCGGUGUAGCGGUGAAAUGCGUAGAUAUCGGGAGGAAGGCCGGUGGCGAAGGCGGCCUCCUGGGCCUGCACUGACACUGAGGCUCGAAAGCGUGGGUAGCAAACAGG
Molecule: ribosomal RNA, 253 nt
Filed under: uncultured microorganism
Description: partial 16S ribosomal RNA
Rfam family: Bacterial small subunit ribosomal RNA
Source: RNAcentral